CCAGACUCCUACGGGAGGCAGCAGUGGGGAAUAUUGGACAGUGGACCAAGAGUCUGAUCCAGCAAUUCUGUGUGCACGAUGAAGUUUUUCGGAAUGUAAAGUGCUUUCAGUUGGGAAGAAAAAAAUGACGGUACCAACAGAAGAAGUGACGGCUAAAUACGUGCCAGCAGCCGCGGUAAUACGUAUGUCACAAGCGUUAUCCGGAUUUAUUGGGCGUAAAGCGCGUCUAGGUGGUUAUAUAAGUCUGAUGUGAAAAUGCAGGGCUCAACUCUGUAUUGCGUUGGAAACUGUGUAACUAGAGUACUGGAGAGGUAAGCGGAACUACAAGUGUAGAGGUGAAAUUCGUAGAUAUUUGUAGGAAUGCCGAUGGGGAAGCCAGCUUACUGGACAGAUACUGACGCUGAAGCGCGAAAGCGUGGGUAGCAAACAGGAUUAGAUACCCUGGUAGUCCACGCCGUAAACGAUGAUUACUAGGUGUUGGGGGUCGAACCUCAGCGCCCAAGCAAACGCGAUAAGUAAUCCGCCUGGGGAGUACGCCGGCAACGGUGAAACUCAAAGGAAUUGACGGGGGCCCGCACAAG
Molecule: ribosomal RNA, 581 nt
Filed under: uncultured bacterium
Lineage: Bacteria
Description: bacterial SSU rRNA
Rfam family: Bacterial small subunit ribosomal RNA
Source: RNAcentral